Small nucleolar RNA from Papaver somniferum (opium poppy), 95 nucleotides. RefSeq annotates it as small nucleolar RNA snR60/Z15/Z230/Z193/J17. The record is from RefSeq and is a predicted model, not a curated record. The transcript has a single exon. NCBI's taxonomy places the organism in Eukaryota, Viridiplantae, Streptophyta, Magnoliopsida, Ranunculales, Papaveraceae.
UGGAGGCAAGUGAUGAUUAUUUGCAUAGCUUAAAUGAUAUUUGUCUCUGAUUAAUAUUAACUUAAUUAGUCUUUCGCUACUAUCUGAUGACUCAU